Molecule: ribosomal RNA, 496 nt
Filed under: uncultured bacterium
Lineage: Bacteria
Description: partial 16S ribosomal RNA
Rfam family: Bacterial small subunit ribosomal RNA
Source: RNAcentral
GAUGAACGCUGGCGGCGUGCCUAAUACAUGCAAGUCGAGCGAACAGACGAGGAGCUUGCUCCUCUGACGUUAGCGGCGGACGGGUGAGUAACACGUGGAUAACCUACCUAUAAGACUGGGAUAACUUCGGGAAACCGGAGCUAAUACCGGAUAAUAUAUUGAACCGCAUGGUUCAAUAGUGAAAGACGGUUUUGCUGUCACUUAUAGAUGGAUCCGCGCCGCAUUAGCUAGUUGGUAAGGUAACGGCUUACCAAGGCAACGAUGCGUAGCCGACCUGAGAGGGGGAUCGGCCACCAGGGAACUGAGACACGGCCCAAACCCCUACGGGAGGCAGGAGGAGGGAAUUUUCCGAAAGGGGGGAAAGCCUGACGGAGCAACGCCGGGGGGGGGAAGAAGGGUUGCGGAUGGUAAAACUCUGUUAUUAGGGAAAAAAAAAUGUGUAAGUAAAUAUGCACGUCUUGACGGUAACUAAACAGAAAGCCACGGAUAAAUACGU